UGGAUGAGGCUCACCCCGGCGGGGAGAAGGGACGAGGAGGGGCGGACAGCGGAAGGUCCGGGAGUGUCCGCCAUUGCGUAAUUGUGAGUCUGUGAGAGAAGAUGUGAAGUAUGGCCUCGUCCCGGUCAUCUGGGCGUGCGGGUCCCGGGUUUUGAUCGCGCGUUUGUCUGAGUCAUUGAAAGCAGCCAGAUACAGACACAUUCCAGGCAGUGGAGAAAGAGGAGAAAAAUGCCCCCUAACUUCUCAUCAGAAAAACAAAGGCCUAAUGAAAAUGGAAAAUUGUCUUUAAAGAGCUGAAGGGGGAAAAAAAACCGUCAUGCUAAAUAUGCUUCACAUAUGAGGAUGAAUUCAAGUUUUAACUUCUAGUCAUGGUGAAUGAUCCCAGGAGAGCACAGACUGGACCCUGCUACGAUCUCUCUUGGAGUGGAUCAGACUGAUGAUCACCAACAACCAACUCAUUCCCGGAUAAGGAAGAAGAGAGUGUCACCUACUUCAGUGUGGUUUCAACCC
RNAcentral lists this long non-coding RNA (510 nucleotides) under Pan troglodytes (chimpanzee). RNAcentral describes it as "lincRNA". Lineage: Eukaryota; Metazoa; Chordata; Mammalia; Primates; Hominidae. The record is from RNAcentral.